Rhipicephalus microplus (southern cattle tick) is the source of this 190-nucleotide long non-coding RNA. NCBI's taxonomy places the organism in Eukaryota, Metazoa, Arthropoda, Arachnida, Ixodida, Ixodidae. The record is from RefSeq and is a predicted model, not a curated record.
AGCAAGCAAGAGAUUACGGCGUUGACACCGCCGCCGAAGACGAGGACAUCGUUCUGUUAUGCGAUGGCAGCGAAGAGGAAGGAGAUGCGUCCGACGAUCUAGAAACCUCUGCAACAUCUACGCCAUCGCAAGGAGAACCAAGCACAUCAGGAACACAACGUGGAAACCUGACCCCUGAUGCAACACCCCC